Long non-coding RNA from Populus euphratica (Euphrates poplar), 252 nucleotides. RefSeq lists it as uncharacterized. NCBI's taxonomy places the organism in Eukaryota, Viridiplantae, Streptophyta, Magnoliopsida, Malpighiales, Salicaceae. The record is from RefSeq and is a predicted model, not a curated record. The transcript has 3 exons.
GGAAGUCAUCACUACUUAAUUCACUUACCAGACAAUGGCUUGUUGCAAAGACAUCAGUCAUCACUACUUAAUUCGCUUUCCAAUUGACGUGGCACGUCGUGCAAUGCAAAUUGAAGAGUGCCUCAAGGUAAACAGGUCUCUUGUCCAGCUUGUGAUGAUGGUGAGCUCAAAAUCUGGAGCUGGUCUUCGAGGCUUAAGGGCAGUGCCGCAGUGCUUUCCAAGGUUGCUUGUUUCGCCAAACUAUAAUCCAUA